Molecule: ribosomal RNA, 462 nt
Filed under: uncultured bacterium
Lineage: Bacteria
Description: bacterial SSU rRNA
Rfam family: Bacterial small subunit ribosomal RNA
Source: RNAcentral
GACGAACGCUGGCGGCGUGCUUAACACAUGCAAGUCGAACGGUAAGGCCCUUCGGGGUACACGAGUGGCGAACGGGUGAGUAACACGUGGGUGAUCUGCCCUGCACUUCGGGAUAAGCCUGGGAAACUGGGUCUAAUACCGGAUAGGACCAUGGACUUCACGGUUUGUGGUGGAAAGCUUUUGCGGUGUGGGAUGGGCCCGCGGCCUAUCAGCUUGUUGGUGGGGUAAUGGCCUACCAAGGCGACGACGGGUAGCCGGCCUGAGAGGGUGUCCGGCCACACUGGGACUGAGAUACGGCCCAGACUCCUACGGGAGGCAGCAGUGGGGAAUAUUGCACAAUGGGCGCAAGCCUGAUGCAGCGACGCCGCGUGAGGGAUGACGGCCUUCGGGUUGUAAACCUCUUUCAGCAGGGACGAAGGGUGACUGACGGUACCUGUAGAAGAAGCACCGGCCAACUACGUG